This 4702-nucleotide long non-coding RNA is filed under the name Citrus x clementina. RNAcentral describes it as "Citrus clementina (C. clementina) long non-coding RNA (CCLE_LNC004590)". Lineage: Eukaryota; Viridiplantae; Streptophyta; Magnoliopsida; Sapindales; Rutaceae. The record is from RNAcentral.
GAGAUGGCAAAGUGGUGUGUCACUGUCAUGCUUGUUCUUGCUGUAGUAGCGGUUCACACUAGUGCAAGAAACACGCCUAGUGAUCAUGAUGAUCAAGUGGUUCAUAACGCUGCCAAAAAUGCACCCUCUGGUGCUGGCCUUGAUGAUCAAAAGAACUUUCUAACAUACGGUGGUGUCAGUGGCUUCUCCGGCAUUGGUUCUAAUGGGCUUCCGCUUGGUGGAGUUGGAGGUCUUGCUGGCGUUACUGGCCUCGGUGGUGCUGGUGGGCUUGGAGGAAUUGGUGGAGUCGGUGGUCUCGGUGGUUCAAGUGGGCUUGGUGGAGUUGGUGGCGUGGGUGGCGGCGUUGGCGGUGGUGCUGGUGGCGGCGUUGGUGGUGGUUCUGCCGGUGGAGUUGGCACUGGCACCGGAGUGCUUCCUUUCCAUUGAAAUAGUUGGAGCCUUAGAAGACAUUAGGGCUUCUUUACUUGCUUUUAAUUAAUCAAGGUUUUUCCUGUUUGAGGGUUUCCCGUGCACGUUAUUAAGAAAGUUUAGUUUAAUGUCAUGUUCGUGUGAUAGUUCGUUUACUUCGGCUUCAGUUACUGUUUGCUUUUGAUUUUUAGCUUUGAGAGCUUCUGGUAUGUUAUCGUAAUGUAAUUCUCUACUUCAGAGAUAUUCGACGUAAAUAAUUUAAUCGCGUGUUUUAUCUUCUUCUUCUGUCUUUUAAAUGGAGAUGACUGAUGUUAUAGAACCUUAGCUAAAGCAACUAAAGUUUACAUAUGAAGUUAUCGAAGCUCAUGCAUUAUGUUACACUAAGCAAAGUAAGGUCAUUAAUUUGUCGGGCCACAGCCUUAAACUUGACUAUAUGUCGUGGAAAUGUUUUGGGAUUCAGGAGCACCUGUAUUUUCAUUCAUUAAUUGCCAUGUAUAUAAUUCAACCAACCAUAAUAAUAAAUAUUAAGCAAUGUGAUGAGCAUAAUUUAUAUACAUAUUUUACCCUUUAUUGUAUAUUUGCUAGUUAAUUUUAUUUGUUAUUUUUAAUUAAUUGAAUUGUUUUAUUGAAUAGGAAAUUAAUUGGAGAUUGGAAAUAAAAAGUGCAAAAAAAAUAAUAAUUUAGAGAAAUAUUAGUUGAAGCUGUGAUAGAGUUAAGAGCUAAGAGCAAUUUGCAUUGAAAAAGAAUUUCAAUUCUCCAAUUGAGUUGCACGUCCAUAGCAUUGCAAAAGGGGAAAGCAAUUUAAAUGGGGCCCACACUUGACUUUCAAAAGUGGAAUUAAUGGCUGGCGUUAUUAUGGAAGCUUUGUUUCAUAAUUGGAAAAGGAUUUUAAUUAGCAGACAAAGAGGAUUCGGUGGCUAAGCAUUAUAAAAGAGAGUUUUGGCUUUUGAAUGAGGGUGGCCGCCAGAGGAGGAGAAAAAGGCUGGAAGAGAGCAGUUGCAGCAGCAAUAUUUCAGCUUCCCAUGGCUGAUUUUAUUUCUUUUGUUGCUCCCAAUUCAAGUAUGUCCAGCUAAUUUUCUUAUACUGAGGUUAAAGAUGAAACCCUAUUCAAUGAAAUAAUUAUUUUAUUUAUUUAUUUAAUUCCCAUAUAUGUUCUUUAAUGAUUAUGGUUUUUAUUUCACAUGAUUAAUUGGAUGUUAAUAAAAUCUUUUCAUCAAUUCUGUCAUGCAUUAUUGAUUGUUAAGAUUAAUAUUCGGUUAAUUCUAUGCUUGGAUCUAUAAAGUUUAUACAUGAUUAUCUUUGAUUUUAUGUCUUUCAUUAAAUUGUUUACAUGGAGUGCUUAGGAAACUUUGACUCUUUAUUAUUCAAUAUGUUUACAUGAGAUUCUUAGAUGUCAUAUUAUUAAGCAGAAAAAGAACCUACAUUAGAUUUAAUUACUUGGGCUUAAUUGUUAUAUCCAUGAGAUGACAUAGAUUGAUUUCGAGUUGUCACUCUAAAAUUGGGGAUUAAUUAAUAAUUAGAUAAUUACUAGUUGAAUAAUGGUGGAUUCUGAAACCUUGGUAAUUCUUAUCUUAUUGAAUUCUCCUUUAUUUUAAUUGCUUCCUUAGUUUAAUUGGUUUAAUUUUCUUAAAAACUCAAUUUGCUCAACUAGGUUAGAAUUAAUAUUAAUUUUAGAUUUAAAUUAGACUUUUUAAUUUAUAACAAUCCCUGUGGGAUCGACCUCGUUACCACUAUUUUAUUUCUAGAUUCGUGCGCUUGCGAGUAUAUUAAAAUUUUCACAACACAAUGCUCCAGGAGUAUUAAAAAAUCUUAAUUCUUUAGGAACACUAAAUACCUUCUUGUAUAUUAGUUGGUGUUGAAUAAAAUGGCAUUGAAGAAAGUUUUCAAAGACAUAAUCCGCACUUGUCAAAGGGAUAAUCUGCACUUGUCAAAGACACGAUCCGCGCCGAACGGAUUGACAUAUUUCCUUCCGUAUUUACAUAUGUAAUCUUUGAAAAAAUGUAGCAUCUGCAUCUAUAAAUAACUCUCAGUGUAUAAUGUUUUAUUCAAGAAAUGAAAACACGUUUCUUCAAUUGGAUGAUCGGUGAAUCAAUAACUGAAUAUCAAAACUGAUAAUACGUUAUCAAUAAGCAUGUAUUUUAAUGAUAAUUUAUAUAUUAGAAAAAUGAUCCUAUAGCUGAAAGACACUACUAUACAUAGAGGAAAAAAUAAAACUGGUGGAGAAUUUAUGUGUCGUGUUACUAAACUUUUCUCAGUUGUAAAUGUUCUAUUAUUUCCUAUAGUUUAAGUCAACGAUUCAAUUAGUGUUGACCAAUAUUUUCUCCAAACGAUUUUCUCAAUUUAGGUGUAAAGAGUUGGGAAUGGUGGAGUGUAAUAUUUGGGGUGGACUUAGAAUGUGCAGGUAUCCGAUCCCAAAUUAAACUUGUUAGGUAGAGAUUGAAUGUAGGUCGACAUUGAAUUUAGCAGCUGACUUCCAUUGACCAACCAAUAUUUAAUGCAACUCAACAGUAAAUUAAAAUAUUGAAUGGAAACUUUAUAUUUAAUAACCACCAAUCAGAUUUAACAAAACAAUCUAAUUCUUUAAUAAUCAACUUACCCUAUAUAAAACCAUUAACUGCUUCAAAUUUUGCCAUGAGUAAUGCUACUUGCAUAUAAAAUUGUACAAAUUUAUUAAUUCAUUUUUAUUUAUAAUUUUGUGUGCAAAUAGUGUUUAACUUUUUCCAAACUCUUGAAUUACGAUGGUCCCAAAGGAUUGGACAGAUUUUACCAUUAAAUUAAUGUGUCAGUACAUGUUAACUAAAAGUCUUUAGUUAGAGAAAACUAGAUUGACAAAGUGAGUGAGUAAAGUAACCAAAACACGCAAAUUUAGUUGAGAUAAGAAUUUUUUUUCUUUUAGAUUAGAUAAGCAAAUUAAUUAGUAGAAUAAAAAGUAUAAUGACAGUAGAAAAUGUUUGAUAUAGAAGUCUAAUACCAAGAUGAAAAAAAAAAAAGAAAUAUUUCUUGCAAAUUAAUUCAAUGUUUAGAGUUUUUUUUAAUAAAAAAAAAUUGAUGUUUAGAAUUGACCACGUGCUACUACGUAUUAUGAGUUAUGGACUACAGCUCAGUGAAAAGGCUCGAUGACUUUUUACUUAAUUCUCCGCAACGCAAGAACAUUUAAUUUUACUUUUUCACAGCUUAAUUAGGAUUUGCAUUUCCUCUCAAAACUCAAAAGGUAAGGUUCCUUGUCACACACAGUUUAAAAUUUUUCAUGUCAUUGGAAAUGGUCCAGGAAAUUAAUAAUGCCCAGAAUUGAGUCAAUCACUUCACAUCGGCCCUUUUCUUCCAACCAAAUGUAAUUACUUGAUUGGUUGGGCAAAUGUUUCUCUGCAUAUCACAUGCCCGAACGCCACAUCCCUAAUCAGCAUUUCAUUUGUCACCACCAUAUCUGGCAUGCAUGUUUAUUUCUGCAUUUGCCACUCUGGCCAUCGCAGUAACUUUCUUUCAGCUGGUACCCCAAGCGUUUAAACCAUUACGAUGACUCCUAUAACAAUUUUACUCUAAGCACAAAUCCUUGAAAAUAUAUAUUUCAAACAGCAGACCUUAUGAGCGAGUGUGCCAGCUAAGUUGCCCGCAUUCAAUUCUAUUUACUACCCACAACUACCUCCCCAAUGCCCUCUUAGCCUUUAUAAGGAGACUCCCGCAACAAUAGUUCACAUGUACUAAGAAGAAAAAUUCAUAAUAGUAAUCAAAUAAUAAUAAUCUUUGAGAGAGAUGGCAAAGUGGUGUGCCAAUGUCAUGCUUGUUCUUGCUGUAGCAGCGGUUCACACUAGUGCAAGAAAUACGCCUAGUGAUCAUGAUGAUCAAGUGGUUCAUAACACUGCCAAAAGUGCGCCCACUGAUGCUGGCCUUGAUGAUCAAAAGAACUUUCUAACAUACGGUGGUGUUGGUGGCUUCUCCGGCAUUGGUUCUAAUGGGCUUCCGUUUGGUGGAGUUGGAGGUCUUGGUGGGAUUACUGGCCUCGGUGGUGCUGGUGGGCUUGGAGGAAUUGGUGGAGUCGGUGGCCUCGGUGGUGCUAGUGGGCUCGGUGGUUCAAGUGGGCUUGGUGGAGUUGGUGGCGUGGGUGGCGGCGUUGGCGGUGGCGGCGGCGUUGGAGGUGGUGCUGGUGGCGGCGUUGGUGGUGGUUCUGCCGGUGGAGUUGGCAUUGGCACUGGAGUGCUUCCUUUCCCUUGAAAUAGUUGGAGCCUUAGAAGACAUUAGGGCUUCUUUACUUGCUUUUAAUUAAUCAAGGUUUUUCCUGUUUGAGGGUUUCCCGUGC